GCAAGUCGAGCGGUAGAGAGAAGCUUGCUUCUCUUGAGAGCGGCGGACGGGUGAGUAAUGCCUAGGAAUCUGCCUGGUAGUGGGGGAUAACGUUCGGAAACGGACGCUAAUACCGCAUACGUCCUACGGGAGAAAGCAGGGGACCUUCGGGCCUUGCGCUAUCAGAUGAGCCUAGGUCGGAUUAGCUAGUUGGUGGGGUAAUGGCUCACCAAGGCGACGAUCCGUAACUGGUCUGAGAGGAUGAUCAGUCACACUGGAACUGAGACACGGUCCAGACUCCUACGGGAGGCAGCAGUGGGGAAUAUUGGACAAUGGGCGAAAGCCUGAUCCAGCCAUGCCGCGUGUGUGAAGAAGGUCUUCGGAUUGUAAAGCACUUUAAGUUGGGAGGAAGGGUUGUAGAUUAAUACUCUGCAAUUUUGACGUUACCGACAGAAUAAGCACCGGCUAACUCUGUGCCAGCAGCCGCGGUAAUACAGAGGGUGCAAGCGUUAAUCGGAAUUACUGGGCGUAAAGCGCGCGUAGGUGGUUAGUUAAGUUGGAUGUGAAAUCCCCGGGCUCAACCUGGGAACUGCAUUCAAAACUGACUGACUAGAGUAUGGUAGAGGGUGGUGGAAUUUCCUGUGUAGCGGUGAAAUGCGUAGAUAUAGGAAGGAACACCAGUGGCGAAGGCGACCACCUGGACUGAUACUGACACUGAGGUGCGAAAGCGUGGGGAGCAAACAGGAUUAGAUACCCUGGUAGUCCACGCCGUAAACGAUGUCAACUAGCCGUUGGGAGCCUUGAGCUCUUAGUGGCGCAGCUAACGCAUUAAGUUGACCGCCUGGGGAGUACGGCCGCAAGGUUAAAACUCAAAUGAAUUGACGGGGCCCGCACAA
RNAcentral lists this ribosomal RNA (875 nucleotides) under Pseudomonas sp. RNAcentral describes it as "bacterial SSU rRNA". It matches the Rfam family "Bacterial small subunit ribosomal RNA", at positions 57 to 928 of the family's 1533-position model. Lineage: Bacteria; Pseudomonadati; Pseudomonadota; Gammaproteobacteria; Pseudomonadales; Pseudomonadaceae. The record is from RNAcentral.